Molecule: long non-coding RNA, 438 nt
Filed under: Trifolium pratense (red clover)
Lineage: Eukaryota; Viridiplantae; Streptophyta; Magnoliopsida; Fabales; Fabaceae
Description: long non-coding RNA (TPRA_LNC009417)
Source: RNAcentral
GGAGUAAUAAAUUUAUAUGAAUAUGAAAAAAAUCCAUAAAUUUAAAUCGAGGAAGAGAAGAAGUUCAUCACAAAAAAUUACUAACUUUUAAAAAAUAAACAAAUAAAAAUUACAACUAAACACAAAUGAGAGAAGGAUGAAUGAAUUAUGAAAGGAAAAACAUGCACUUGCUUCUUAGAUCUGGUUUUCAUUUGCAAAAAUCAACUUGUGCAACUUGUCAAAUGGAAAACACAUUUAAAUCAACUUCUUAGAUUUGGAAUGAAAGAAAGAUUCAUGAGACUUGUUGGUGCGUUUUUUUUCUUCAGAGAACUUGUCAAAUGGAGGUAAAGGAAAACACAUCUUGUUUAGCAUAAAAGGAGUUUGGUGUGUGACUGUAUUUGUUUGUGGGAAAUGAGAAUUGAGAUCAGAGAAGAACAAGGUUCUAGACACAUAAUAAAU